RNAcentral lists this ribosomal RNA (614 nucleotides) under Clarias batrachus (walking catfish). RNAcentral describes it as "partial 16S ribosomal RNA". It matches the Rfam family "Bacterial large subunit ribosomal RNA", at positions 834 to 1874 of the family's 2925-position model. The record is from RNAcentral. Lineage: Eukaryota; Metazoa; Chordata; Actinopteri; Siluriformes; Clariidae.
CCGAACUUAGUUAUAGCUGGUUGCCUAAGAAAUGAAUAGAAGUUCAGCCUCGCACCCCUCAACUCACAAACACACCUUAAAACACGAACUUGAGAAACACGCGAGAGUCAGUCAAAGGGGGUACAGCCCCUUUGAAACAGGAUACAACCUCAUCAGGAGGUUAAAGAUUAUACUAAACAAGAUACACCGCUUUAGUGGGCCUAAAAGCAGCCAUCUAAAUAGAAAGCGUUAAAGCUCCUGCGGAUCAAAAAUCUAUUAUAUAAAUAUCUUAUCUAAAACCCCUAAUUCUACUAGGCCAUUCCAUGCCAACAUGGAAGAGACACUGCUAAAAUGAGUAAUAAGAAGGUAACGCCCUUCUCCUAACGCCUACGUGUACGCUAGACCGGACCACCCGCUAGCAAUUACCGAACCCAACAAAAGAGGGCAAUGUAGCAUCACUAAAUAUCAAGAAAUACCUACAACCCAAAUCGUUAAACCCACACUGGAAGGCCAUUUAAAGGAAAGACUAAAAGAAGAGGAAGGAACUCGGCAAACACAAGCCUCGCCUGUUUACCAAAAACAUCGCCUCCUGCAAAGCCCAACAUAUAGGAGGUCUUGCCUGCCCAGUGACUAAU